GAUGAACGCUGGCGGCGUGCCUAAUACAUGCAAGUCGAGCGAACAGAUGAGGAGCUUGCUCCUCUGACGUUAGCGGCGGACGGGUGAGUAACACGUGGAUAACCUACCUAUAAGACUGGGAUAACUUCGGGAAACCGGAGCUAAUACCGGAUAAUAUAUUGAACCGCAUGGUUCAAUAGUGAAAGACGGUUUUGCUGUCACUUAUAGAUGGAUCCGCGCCGCAUUAGCUAGUUGGUAAGGUAACGGCUUACCAAGGCAACGAUGCGUAGCCGACCUGAGAGGGUGAUCGGCCACACUGGAACUGGGACACGGUCCAGACUCCUACGGGAGGCAGCAGUAGGGAAUCUUCCGCAGUAGGCGAAAGCAUGACGGAGCAACGCCGAGUGAGUGAUGAAGGUCUUCGGAUCGUAAAACUCUGUUAUUAGGGAAGAACAAAUGUGUAAGUAACUAUGCACGUCGUGACGGUACCUAAUCAGAAAGCCACGGCUAACUACGUG
RNAcentral lists this ribosomal RNA (497 nucleotides) under uncultured bacterium. Its description in RNAcentral is "partial 16S ribosomal RNA". It matches the Rfam family "Bacterial small subunit ribosomal RNA", at positions 28 to 507 of the family's 1533-position model. The record is from RNAcentral.